AGGCAACAGUUCCAGAAAUCCCCAAGCCUGAAUUGCCUAAGGUUGAAUUGCCACCGUUACCAAAACCUGAAAUACCACAAAUUCCAAAGCCUGAAUUACCUGAGAUUCCAAAGCCUGAGCUUCCUAAAAAACCUCAAUUACCAGAGAUUCCAAAGCCAGAACUACCGAAGAAACCUGAAUUACCUGAGAUUCCAAAGCCUGAGUUGCCAAAAGAACCAGAAUUGCCAGAGAUUCCGAAAGCUGAGGUGCCAAAAGAGCCUGAAGUACCUGAACUUCCGAAGCCUGAGUUGCCCAAAGUGCCUGAGGUGCCAAAAGAGCCCGAAGUACCUGAACAUCCGAAGCCUGAGUUGCCCAAAGUGCCUGAGGUGCCAAAGGAGCCCGAAGUACCUGAACUUCCAAAGCCUGAGUUGCCCAAAGUGCCUCAGGUGCCAAAAGAGCCCGAAGUACCUGAACAUCCGAAGCCUGAGUUGCCCAAAGUGCCUGAGGUGCCAAAGGAGCCCGAAGUACCUGAACUUCCAAAGCCUGAGUUGUCCAAAGUGCCUGAGGUGCCAAAGGAGCCCGAAGUACCUGAACUUCCAAAGCCUGAGUUGCCCAAAGUGCCUGAGGUGCCAAAAGAGCCCGAAGUACCUGAACAUCCGAAGCCUGAGUUGCCCAAAGUGCCUGAGGUGCCAAAGGAGCCCGAAGUACCUGAACUUCCAAAGCUUGAGUUGCCCAAAGUGCCUGAGGUGCCAAAAGAGCCCGAAGUACCUGAACAUCCGAAGCCUGAGUUGCCCAAAGUGGCUGAGGUGCCAAAGGAGCCCGAAGUACCUGAACUUCCAAAGCCUGAGUUGCCCAAAGUGCCUGAGGUGCCAAAAGAGCCCGAAGUACCUGAACUUCCAAAGCCUGAGUUGCCCAAGGCGCCUGAAUUGCCUUCUUUCCCCCAUCUACCUGAGCUUCCUAAGCCGACAUUUCCCCCCAUCCCGAGUCUUCCCAAGGAGAUGCCAACUCACUCAACCACCAAUCCUUAAAUUCCAUUUUCUUCAAAUGCUUUCCCGAGCUUCAUCUGGUUCUCUGCAGAUGUAUAUCAAUAAAUUAUAUUUGUUGUUUCUUGUUUUGAGACUUUCCAAAUUUGUGUGUUUUCCCUUUUGAGGAUUCUUUUUGUUAUUGUUUUUAAAUCUGGGAUACGACUCGUGAUGAGUUCGGCUACGCAGGACUACUGUUGUAUUCAUUUCUACAUAAUAAAUUGAGUGAUAUAUAUUGUAUUUUUAUGUUUAGCAGUCUGAUUUGAGGUUUCUGAUUUUAUAUGUGCUCUAUCACGUAAUUGCAUUUUAUCUUCAUUUUGACGUCAGUCGAAAAUGUAUAGGAAAUUUAAAAUAAUGAUGAUUGCUGUGUCACAUCGAUUAAAUUGGUAUUUAAUUUUUUGUGAUUUUAAAAUAUACAGAAAAAUAAAUUAAAGAGACAACUUUUUGUUUUGUGUUUCAGCAUUCGAAGCUAGAAAGACCUAAACGAACUUCAGCACCGCAGCGACAGUGAUAUUUUAGAAAAAUAAACUAGGACGACCCUUUAUCUGAUCAUCAAGGGGAGAAAAAUCAGAUUUAUUUGUUCCCUUUGACCACACAGUCGGUUAUGAUUUUGUCGAACAGCAAACCGUGAAGAGCUACGUGCCCAAAAUAGGAAUGUUUACGUGACUUUUAGACUAGAGCUGUCACUAAUGUUUAAUAUGAAACUAAUCCAUCCUGAACUAGAUUUACAACUUUUGUAAAUGUUUUUUUGCAGAAUAAAUAUUCUCACUUGAGACGAAAUAUCCCCAUUACACAAGGUCCAUAAAAAAAAUGAUUAAUUUGCAGAGAGAGUUACAAAAAAAAUGAUUAAAUUAUAGAGAGAGCUUACAUUAAAACCAGAUAAGGACAGAAGUUAGUAACUCAAUUGAUCAAUUCUAACAAGGAACAAGAAACAAGGAGCAAAAGUGAAUUAUAUAAAACUAGCUAGUAUUAAUAUUCAAAAACAAAGUAAUAAAAUGAAAUGAAUUAUUUUAGGCUCAAGUUCUAGCACUUGACACGUGAUAUUUUUUGGUCUGAUUUUUUUGAAGUACACACAUGUGCAUUUGAUUAUCCUGAUUUGAGCUUUUUGUUGGGAAAAAUCGGGUGGGUGAAGUAGACACGCAAUUUAAAUGAAAUAAAAAAAUAAUGAUCAUACAGGGACACCAGAAUUUAUGUGGUUUGACUUUUAGCAUACGUCCAUAUGUUGUCAGAUAUGCUAGAGUGCAUUUACUUAUGCUGUCAGAUAUGCUAAACUUUAAUCUAUGCUGCUUACUUGUAGCACAGUGCUCGCAAAAUGAUAAGUUCACCUAUUUAAGCCCUGGAAGCAACUUUUUCCCAGAGAGAAUCUUCAAACCUUGUUUCCACAUGUGGCCAAGUUUGAGAUGCACAUCAUUGUCGAUUCUUCUCUAUUUGACGCAACACAAGCAGUAGCUUCUUGCAAUGUUUCCCCUUUAAGCAUGAAUAAAUUGGCACAUAUAUUUUCUGCCUUCAUCAAUACAAGCGUACUUCUGACAAUCUUCAUGAUCCCAUUUUCCACCUGAGUUUUAUAGUCAAGACUAUCUAUUUGUCCUAAAGACAAUAGAUUUUUUUUCAUACAUUUGACAUGCAGUACCUCCUAAAUAGUGCAAAUAUACCAUCAAAUAUUUUUAUUUUGAUAGAACCAACACUAGCAAUCUCCAAGGUAUGAUUAUCACCCAUAUAUACCGAUUCUCCUAAGAUAGGUUCAUAUUUGUGGGAUUAUUCUCUCUAAGAGGUCCUGUGCCAGUAGCUCUUGAGUCUAUAAACCAGACGUCAGAUAGUUUUUUUCUGCCUUCUGCAACCAUAACUGCCUCGUUGUAUAAAACGUCAUCAUCAUAUGAGGUACUUACUACACACCCCUAAGUAUUUGAUGACUUAGGAUCUUUACCCUCUCCUUUCUACUGGUAACUCCAACACUCUUUCUUGACAUGCCAUAUUUUUCCACAUUUGUAGCAUCUGAUUUUCUUCUUACUUCUUAAAUUUGAUCUACCAUGAUUGUGACUCCUACUAGGACUACGUUUCACUGACCUCCCUCUCAUCAUCAUGCGCUUCCACUUGCAGCGAACUUGCUUAACUGUCUUCCUAGUUUUUGCGCCUACUCUCUUAUUCUAAUACAGAGGCUGUAACAUCAUCGAAGACUAAGUACUCCAUAAGGAUAUUGUUCAUCAAGUUGAUGAUGAGUUGAUCAUAUGAGUCAGGUAAACUUUAAAGUAGAAGCUCUGCACGUUCAAUUUCUUCUAUUUUAUACCCAACGUCGUAAGUUGUGAAAAUAGAGUUUUAAGAGUGUUGAUAUGGUCGCUCAUCGUUAUGGUUUCCGCAAUUCGAAAAGUAUAGAGUCUCCUCUUCAAAAAGAUAUUAUUGUGUAGUGACUUGGCCUCAUACAGUUUUGUGAGAGUAUCCCAAAUACCUUUCAUUGUCUUUUCCUCCGCCACACUAGAUAACACCCCAUCUGAGUGCCAGGUGUAGAUCAACAAUUGCAUUGCUGUCACUUCAUUCCACUUGUCACCAGUGAUUUUUGCAGGCCUUUCCCCAAUUAUUUUUAAGCAAUUAUUUUUCCUCAAGACUAGGUACUCCGUAAGGAUAUUGUUCGUCAAGUUGAUUAUAUAAGUCAGGUAAACUUUGAAGUAGAAGCUCUGCACAUUUAAUUUCCUCUACUUUAUGCCAAACAUCAUAAGUUGUGAAAAUAAAGUUUUAAGAGUGUUGGUAUGGUCGAUCACCGUUGUGGUUUCCCCCAUUCGAAGAGUAUAGAGUCUCCUCUUCAAGAAGAUUUUGUUGUGUAGUGACUUGAUCUCGUAUAGUUCUGUGAGAGUAUCCCAAAUACCUUUCACUGUCUUUUCCUCUGCCACACUAGAUAACACCCCAUCUGAGUGCCAGGUGUAGAUCAACAAUUACAUUAUUGUCCAUUCAUUCCACUUGUUACCAGUGAUUUUUGCAGGUCUUUCCCCAAUCACUUUUAAGCAAUUAUUUUUCCUCAAGAUUGCCCGCAUCCUCAUUUUCCAUAACGAGAAAUUGCUCCCGUUGAACUUCUUAAUUUCAAACGUUGCUGUCAUUUUGUUAAUACCGCACACAAGUUAGUGUACCUCCUUGAAUAGUUAUGAGUGAUCACACGUGUGAAUAUGCACACUACGAAAGUUCCUAAGAAAGACUGGAGGGGUCACAAUGAUCCCACUUAAAAUCCAAACUUCUUAAACUCUUAUUGCCUUUAUGACAGAAUUUUCCUAGAUAUGUACAAGACCACACAAUUACUUUCACUCACAUCACUAUUCCCUACUUUGUACCGCAGAAUUCUUGGAUCGCUCCCAUCGUUUCAUGUGAAUAAUGCCGUAUACGUGAAUAGUAUUGUAUAUGUGAAUAGUAUCGUAUACGUGAACAAUACCCGACUCCAAAGAUUUGCAACCAAUGGCUCUGAUACCACUUGUUGGGAAAAUUCAGCGGGUGAGUAGACAUACAACUAAAGUGAAAUUGAAAAAUAAUUAUCAUACAACAACACCAGAAUUUACAUAGUUCAGUUUUUAGCCUACGUCCACAUGCGAAGACAGAAGGAAAUAUUUUGCUAGUAAAAAUGAGUUACAAGUAUUAUAGUAUUUUUGUCUCACAACCCAAAACUCCAGUACACUAAAACUCUGAAAAACACUAGAACUAGAGUACAAAGCUCUCAACACUCUCAACUUACACCUCUUGGCACUCUCACUCUCACCAGAGAAAAUGAGAUGAUUCAAGAGGGCAAAUGAAGCCUUUAUUUAUAGGCCAGGUAAUGUCUAAAAAUCAAGGAUGGUGGGCAUUAAAAUAAUAUAAAUUUUCUCUGAACCUUCUACUUUGGUGCCAGAGUCAAAAGCUAUAUUACUCUCACUUACUCAUGUCUCCCACUUACUCAAUAAUUUUAUGACGAGAGUCAAAAGUUGCAUGCUAACCACAUGCAAUUGUUUGCCACAUGCAUACAUAUGUUCAACACUUUUACCUGAGUAAAUAUAAAUUGGUAAUUGACUUUUACAUAAUUCGUUAAGAUUAUUGGCGAAAAGAUGGUGCCCCAAGUACUACAUAUCAAAAUUGUGGCCAACAAACAGGAGAUCUUACAUAAAAUAUGAUCAAAUGACACGACGUUGAUUCGUACGUAAAUAUGCUUUUGACUUGUUCAUGAUUAAUAUUGAUAAGACACAUUUGACCAACCACGACAACGUUUGAAAAUAACCAAUGCAUAAUGGAUAACAUGUGCUUCCAACCACAACAAAUAGUUAAUCUGGCUUAAAAUCUCAAUCAUAGAGCGUUCAAUCUUCUUUCUUGUAGCAUUCAAAUACAAGGAGAAGACAAUCUGAUAAAUUAAUUGAAGAGGAAAAAUGGGAAUAAGAGAAACGGCAUGUCGCUGUUAACAUCCAUUAGGAAAUGAAAUUCAAUUACGUAUUAGUGUGUUUUCGAGAAGGGAAGCUUAUGUCAUUAGGUGUUUUAUGACAUAUAUGACCACAAAGUUAUAAAAUAAUGUUAAUUUUUUUUUAUUAUUAACUCAGGCAUACAUUAAAAUUCGAACUCAAGGUUUGAGCCUUAGAAAGGCCGUUCCUUACCAUAGGAACUGGCUUCAAUAAUCUUAAAUAAUUUGCAGAAAAGUAUUGAAUAAAAUAAUCAUUCAGAGGUUAUUAUUUUAACCAUUUACCUUCUUUUUUUUCACAGGGGAUAUAUGAAAAGAUAAUGAAUAAUCCCUUAAUAUAACAAUUAAUUGCAAUAUAAUUGCUUAUAUAACAUAUUAUACAAUGAUAUAUAAUCGUUAUGACGUACGUGGAAUUAGCAGAAGUGAGAGGUUGAUGAACUAACAAGACAUAAAUUUCUUACCAAGUACCAACCCAAGCUUAAUUUAUUUAUAUUUUACUAUUUUAGUCAUACCUACCCAAUCUUGAAACCCUCUAUUCUACGCUUCGCCACACCUAUAAAAGCCUCAUAACACAUGAAAUCAAUGCAUAAACACAUUUGAUCCCUUCUCUUUUGAUUGUUAUUACCGCAACACAAUAUAUGUUUCAUCUCUUAUAGCUUUAUUCGGCAAUAGUUCAACCAUGGCAUCCUUCUCUUUCUCAUCCGUUAUGCUACCACUUUUGCUAAUCGCUUUAUCGUCAAUGAGCUUUAACAUUGAUUUGAUCGCUGCUCGCCAUCUUCUAGAGGCAACAGUUCCAGAAAUACCCAAGCCUGAAUUGCCUAAGGUUGAAUUGCCACCGUUACCAAAACCUGAACUACCACAAAUUCCAAAGCCUGAAUUACCUGAGAUUCCAAAGCCUGAGCUACCUAGAAAACCUGAAUUACCAGAGAUUCCAAAGCCUGAGUUGCCAAAAGAACCUGAAUUGCCAGAGAUUCCGAAACCUGAGGUGCCAAAAGAGCCUGAAGUACCUGAACUUCCAAAGCCUGAGUUGCCCAAAGUGCCUGAGGUGCCAAAAGAGCCCGAAGUACCUGAACAUCCGAAGCCUGAGUUGCCCAAAGUGCCUGAGGUGCCAAAAGAGCCUGAAGUACCUGAACAUCCGAAGCCUGAGUUGCCCAAAGUGCCUGAGGUGCCAAAAGAGCCCGAAGUACCUGAACAUCCGAAGCCUGAGUUGCCCAAAGUGCCUGAGCUGCCAAAGGAGCCCGAAGUACCUGAACUUCCAAAGCCUGAGUUGCCCAAAGUGCCUGAGGUGCCGAAAGAGCCCGAAUUGCCUUCUCUGCCUCAUCUACCUGAGCUUCCUAAGCCCACAUUUCCCGCCAUCCCGAGUCUUCCCAAGGAGAUCCCAACUCACUCGACCACCAAUCCUUAAAUUUCAUCUUCUCCAAAUGCUUUCUCGAGCUUCAUCUGGAUGUAUACUAAUAAAUUAUAUUUGUUGGUUCUUGUUUUGAGACUUUCCAAAUUUGUGUGUUUUCACUCUUGAGGAGUUUUUUGUUAUUGUUUUUAAGUCUGGGAUACGACUCGCGAUGAGCUCCGCUCCACAGGAGUACUGUUGUAUUCAUUUUUACAUAAUCUAUUGAGUGAUAUUUAUUGUACUUUUAGGUUUAGCAGUCUGAUUUGAGGUUUCUGAUUUUAUGUGCUCUAUGACAUAUAUUACAUUUUAUCUUCAUUUUGACUUUAGUCGAAAACGUAUAGCAAAAUAAAAGAGACAUUUCAUAUCUCUGCAGGGUUCAAGCUCUACGUUCACUAAACAAACAUCAGCAUCGCAGCAGCAUUGAUAUAUAUAUAUAUAUAUAUACGUAAAAUGAACUAGGGCACUGUCUCCUUGUCUAAGGUUUAAAAUGAUGAUGAUUGCUGUGUCACAUCGAUUAAAUUGGUAUUUAAUUUUUUAUGAGUUUAAAAUGUACAGCAAAAUAAAUUAAAGAGACAUCUUUUUGUUUUGUGUAUUGCCGAACGUUUCAGCAUUCGAAGCUAGAAACACCUAAACAAACUUCAGCACCGCAGCGACAGUGAUAUUUUAGUAAAAUAAACUAGGACGACCCUUUAUCUGAUCAUUAAGGGGAGAAAAAUCAGAUUUAUUUGCUCCCUUUGACCACAUAGUCGGUUAUGAUUUUGUCCAACAACAAACCGUGAAGAGCUACGUGCCCAAAAUAGGAAUGUUUACGCGACUUUUAGACUACAGCUAUCACUAAUGUUUAAUAUGAAACUAAUCCAUCCUGAACUACAUUGACAACUUUUGUAAAUGGUUUUUUGCAGAAUAAAUAUUCUCAUUUGAGACGAAAUAUCCCCAUUACACAAGGUCCAUAAAAAAAAUGAUUAAAUUACAGAGAGAGUUACAAAAAAAAAAGAAUAAAUUAUAGAAAGAGCUUACAUUGAUACCAGAUAAGGACAGAAGUUAGUAACUCAAUUGAUCAAUUCUAACAAGGAACAUGAAAAAAGGAGCAAAAGUGAAUUAUAUAAAACUAGCUAGUAUUAAUAUUAAAAAACAAAGUAAUAAUAAAAUGAAAUUAAUUAUUUUAGGCUCAAGUUCUAGCACUUGACACGUGAUUUUUGUGUCUGAUUUUUUUAAGUACACACAUGUGCAUUUGAUUAUCCUGAUUUGAGCUUUUUGUUGGGAAAAAUCGUGUGGGUGAAGUAGACACGCAAUUAAAAUGAAAUUGAAAAAUAAUGAUCAUAUAGGGACACCAAAAUUUACGUGGUUAAACUUUUAGCCUACGUCUAUGGGCAAGGGCAGAAGGAAAUAUUUUACUAGUGAAAAGGAGUUACAAGUGUUGUAGUGUUUUGUCUCAUAACCCAAAACCCCAAUAUACCCAAACUCUAAAAAAACAAUAGAACUAGAGCUCAAAGCUCUCAACACUCUCAACUUGCGCCUCUUGGCACUCUCACUUGAAUUGGGGAAAAUGGCAUGAUUGGAGGGUAAAUGAAGCCACUAUUUAUAGGUCAGGCAAUGCCCAAAAAUCAACAAUGCUAAUAAUAUAAAAUUUCUCUCAACUUCCACUUUGGUUCGACUUGCGCUUUGUAUUCUUUCAACACUGGAAAUGCAUCUGACUUUUUCUUGAUUCGAUACUCCUAACAUCGCCUGGACUAUUCAUCAAUGAAAGUCACCACGUACUUUGAACCUCCCAAGGACUUAUCCGGCAAUUCCCAAACAUCAGAAUGAACCAAAUCUAGAAUGCAUUUAGUUAUGGUGUCAGAUCUGGUGAACUUUAAUCUAUGUUGCCUACUUGUAACACAAUGCUCACAAAGCGAUAAGUUUACCUAUUUAAGCCCUGAAAGCAACUUCUGCCCAAAGAGAAUCUUCAAACCUUGUUUCGACAUGUAGCCAAGUUUAAGAUGCUACAUCAUCGCCAAUUAUUCUCUCUUUGACGCAACACGAGCAUUAUCUUCUUGCAGUGUUUCCCCUUUAAGCAUGAAUAAAUUAGCACUGAUCUUUCCGCCUUCAGCAAUACAAACGUACUUCCGACAAUCUUCGUGAUCCCAUUUUCCACCUAAGUUUUACAACCAAGACUGUCUAUUUGUCCUAAAGACAAUAGAUUUUUUUUUCAUGCCUUUGAUAUGACAUACCUCCUUAAUAGUGCAAACUAUACCAUCAAACAUUUUUAUUUUGAUAGAACCAACACUAGCAAUCUCCAAGGUAUGAUCAUCACCCAUACAUACAGAUCCUCCUAAGAUAGGAUUAUAUUUGUGGAACUAUUCUCUUUGAGAGGUCAUGUGCCAGUAGCUCUUAAGUCUAUAAGCCAGACGUCAGAUAGUUUUUUUCUGCUUUCUUCAACCAUAAUUGCCUCGUUGUAUAAAAUGUCACCAUUAUCUGAGGUACUUACUACACACCCCUAAGUAUUUGAUGACUCAGGAUCUUUACCCUCUCUUCUCUUCUGUUAACUCCAAUACUCUUUCUUGACAUGUCCUAUUUUGGCACAUUUGUAGCAUCUGAUUUUCUUCUUACUUCUUGACUUUGAUCUACAAUGAUUGUGACUCCUACUAGGACCACGUUCCGCUAAUCUCCCUUUCACCAUCGUUAGUGCUUCUGCUUACAGCGAACUUGCUUACCUGUCGUCAUAGUUCUUGCACCUACUCUCUUAUUAAAAUGGAGAGGCUGCAACAUCAUCAAAAACUAAGCACUCCGUAAAGAUAUUGCUCGUAAAGUUGAUGAUGAGUUGAUCAUACGAGUUAGGUAAACUUUGAAGUAUAAGCUUUGCACGUUCAAUUUCCUUUAUUUUAUGCCCAACGUCGUAAGUUGUGAAAAUAGAGUUUUAAGAGUGUUGAUAUGGUCGGUCAUCGUUGUGGUUUCCGCCAUUCGAAAAGUAUAGAGUCUCCUCUUCAAGAAGAUAUUGUUGUAUAGUAACUUGGUCUCGUACAGUUUUGUUAGAGUAUCCCAAAUACCCUUCACUGUUUUUUCCUCCACCACACUAGAUAACACCCCAUCUGAGUCCCAGGAGUAGAUCAACAAUUGCAUUGCUGUCAAUUCAUUCCAUUUCUCACCAGUGAUUUUUGCAGGUCUUUCCCUAAUUGCUUUUAGGCAAUUAUUUUUCCUCAAGACUAGGUACUCCAUAAGGAUAUUGUUCGUCAAGUUGAUUAUACGAGUCAGGUAAACUUUGAAGUAGAAGCUCUGCAUGUUCAAUUUCUUUUAUUUUAUGCCAAACAUCGUAAGUUGUGAAAAUAGAGUUUUAAGAGUGUUGAUAUGAUCGGUCGCCAUUGUGGUUUCCCCCUUUCGAAGAGUAUAGAGUCUUCUCUUUAAGAAGAUUUUGUUGUGUAGCGACUUAAUCUCGUACAAUUUUGUAAAAGUAUCACAAAUACCUUUCACUGUCUUUUCCUUUGCUACACUAGAUAACACCCCAUCUGAGUGCCAGGUGUAAAUCAACAAUUGCAUUGUUGUCCAUUCAUUCCACUUGUCACCAGUGAUUUUUUCAGGCCUUAAAAUAAUUGUUCUGCUACACUAGAUAACACCCCAUCUGAGUGCCAGGUGUAAAUCAACAAUUGCAUUGUUGUCCAUUCAUUCCACUUGUCACCAGUGAUUUUUUCAGGCCUUAAAAUACUUGCUUUUAAGCAAUUGUUUUUCCUCAAGAUUGCCCGCAUCUUCAUUUUCCAUAACGAGAAAUUGCUCCCGUUGAACUUUUUAAUUUCAAACUUUGUUGUCAUUUUGGUAAUACCGCACACAAGUUAGUGUACCUCCUUGAAUAGUUAUGAGUAAUCACACAUGUGAAAAUGCACAUCAGGAAAGUUCCUAGGAAAGACUAGAGGGGUCACAACGAUCCCACUUAAAAUCUAAACUCCUUAAACUCGUAUUGCCGUUAUGACAGAACUUUCCUAGAUAUGUACAAGACCACACAAUUACUUUCACUCACAUCACUAUUCCCUGCCUUGCACCAUAGAAUUCUUAGAUCGCUCCCAUCGUUUCGUGUGAAUAGUGCCGUAUACGUGAAUAAUAUUGCAUACGUGAAAUCUGACUGCAAAAGAAUGCAACCAAUGGCUCUGAUACAACUUGUUGGGAAAAUUCAACAGGUGAAGCAGACACGUAACUAAAGUAAAAUUAAAAAAAUAAUGAUCAUACAGGAACACCAGAAUUUACGUAGUUCAGCUUUUAGCCUACAUCCACAUGCGAAGACAGAAGGAAAUAUUUUCCUAGUGAAAAGGAGUUACAAGUAUGAUAGUAUUUUUGUCUCACAACCCAAAACCCUCGUACACCCAAACUCUCAAAAACACUAGAACUAGAGCACAAAGUUCUCAACACUCUCAACUUAUACCUCUUGGCACUCUCACUCGAACUAGAGAAAAUGAGAUAAUUCAAGAGGGCAAAUGAUGCCUCUAUUUAUAGGCCAAGCAAUGCCUAAAAAUGUGGGCAUUAAAAUAAUAUAAAAUUUCUCUCAACCUUCUACUUUGAUGCCAAAGUCAAAAGUUAUAUUCCUCUCACUUACUCAUGUCUCCCUCUUACUCAACAAUUUUAUGAGAAGAGUCAAAAGUUGCAUGCUAACCACAUGCAAUUGUUUGCCACAUACAUGCACAUGUUCAACACUUUUACCUGAGUAAAUAUAAAUUGGUAAUUGACUUUUACAUAAUUCGUUAAGAUUAUUGGCGAAAAGACGGUGUCCCAAGUCCUAAUAUUUAAUUGUACAGUUGAUUGCAGUUUAGCUAUAUACUAAAGGAUGUCAUUUGGUCAAGCUUCAUUCAAAAUUGUGGCCAACAAACUGAGAUCUUAUAUAAAAUAUCAUCAAAUGACACGACGUUGAUCUCCAUUUUUUUAACACAAUAUCACAUAACUAAACAAAAGAAUUCGUACGUAAAUAUCCUUUUGACUUGUUUAUGAUUAAUAUUGAUGAAACACAUUUGACCAACCACAACGUUUGAAAAUAUUCAAUGCAUAAUGGAUAACAUAUGCUUCCAACCACAACAACUAGUUAAUCAGGCACUCAAAUACAAGAAGAAGACAAUCUGAUAAAUUAAUUGAAGUGGAAAAGAUGGGAAUAAGAGAAACGGCAUGUCGCUGUUAACAUCCAUUAGGAAAUGAAAUUCAAUUACGUAUUAGUUUGCUUUCGAGAAGGGAAGCUUAUGUCAUUAGGUGUUUUAUGACAUAUAUGACCCCAAAGUUAUAAAAUAAUGUUAAUUUUUUUUUAUUAUUAACUCAGGCAUACAUUAAAAUUCGAACUCAAGGUUUGAGCCUUAGAAAGGCCGUUCCUUACCAUAGGAACUGGCUUCAAUAAUCUUAAAUAAUUUGCAGAAAAGUAUUGAAUAAAUAAUCAUUCAGAGGUUAUUAUUUUAACCAUUUACCUUCUUUUUUUUCACAGGGCAUAUAUGAAAAGAUAAUGAAUAAUCCCUUAAUAUAACAAUUAAUUGCAAUAUAAUUGCUUAUAUAACAUAUUAUACAAUGAUAUAUAAUCGUUAUGACGUACGUGGAAUUAGCAGAAGUGAGAGGUUGAUGAACUAACAAGACAUAAAUUUCUUACCAAGUACCAACCCAAGCUUAAUUUAUUUAUAUUUUACUAUUUUAGUCAUACCUACCCAAUCUUGAAACCCUCUAUUCUACGCUUCGCCACACCUAUAAAAGCCUCAUAACACAUGAAAUCAAUGCAUAAACACAUUUGAUCCCUUCUCUUUUGAUUGUUAUUACCGCAACACAAUAUAUGUUUCAUCUCUUAUAGCCUUAUUCGGCAAUAGUUCAACCAUGGCAUCCUUCUCUUUCUCAUCCGUUGUGCUACCACUUUUGUUAAUCGCUUUAUCGUCAAUGAGCUUUGACAUUGAUUUGAUCGCUGCUCGCCAUCUUCUAGAGGCAACAGUUCCAGAAAUACCCAAGCCUGUUACCAAAACCUGAACUACCACAAAUUCCAAAGCCUGAAUUACUGAUGGUUGUUGAAACCAACAAAAAUAAAUACUUACUCUAAAUAAAUUGUGUAUAGUGAUUGAGUAGGGUCGUGUCCACAGAGAUCGGUAAUUAUUUAAAUCCUUUUAAAAUAUAAAAUGCAAAAUGGGGGAAUUGUUGACAAUAAAAAAAAUAAAAUUAAAAUAACAAGAACACAAAUUCAAAUUGUAAUUCAAAUUGGGGAAAGCUCUGGUUGAAGGAAUUAACUUAGCUUGAUUUGACUACUGAUCCUUGAUUCAAAUAUAAAUUAUUACUACUUAUGAAUAGACCGGUUAUAGCUACUGAGACCCUCUAAUAGUCAAUCUCUCCUUAACUAGUCGAUAACCAAGGUACGACCGUUGGUUAUUUUCCUAAGCAAUAGACAAUACUACUAGAAAAAUAACCUUUACUGACACUUGUCUUGUGAUACUUUAUUAAAAGUAUCAGUAAUUACAUGCAUUUCGGAUAUUUUCCGUGUUUAACAAAUAAAUAUCACAAAUUUGUGAUACUAUAGUGUCUGUAAAUUAAAUAUCAGAGAUCUGUGACAAUAAGGUAUUAGUAAUUAGAAAAAUAAAAUUUUAAUUUUGUGUCCAUUAGGAAUCGAACUAAAGACCUCUAAACUUUAACUUUUUAAUUUUAAACAUUAACCACUGGGCCAUGAGUUGGAUUUUGAUUUUUGGCUUAAUAAGUAAAUAAUAUUAAAAAUUAAAUUAAAUUACCUAGAUACUAUGUCGUUUUAAUGGAAGGUGUACAUGAAAACCUAAAAUCUAAAAUUUUUAAAAAGUGAAAAAAAAUUCCCCACGGCCGCUUCUUGCUAUGAACUGAAGCUCUCUUCCUUCCUUCUCUCUCUCUCUCUCUCUCUCUCUCUCUCUCUCUCUAUAACAAUGAUCUACCUCAGCCGUCGCCAUCAACCUUCAAAUCGCCAUCCUUGACCUAAAAUACCCUUGAACUAGAAAGUGUUGGGAAGAAUUUGAGCAAAGCUAGGGUUUUUUUGAAAGUUCGAAUCCAAAAAUUAGGGCUUUUUUGUAGGGGGUAUUUCAUUGUUUUUAAUGUUGAGUUCGAAGAGAAUGAUUUUGCCGCCGUUACCGCCUAAGCAGUAUGGAGUGACGAAGCCAAUAUCAAUUGCAGGAUCGAUGGAGGGUGAUAUGCAAAGAACCCAUGAGAAAAGGUUUUGUUUUAUCUUUAUUUAUAAUUACUUUUUUCUUUCUGUAUAGAAAACCCUGAUUUCAAUUUCCUUUAGGGUUAAAGUUUUUGGUUGGAGCUGGGUUUUAUGAAAGCAAAGAAGAAGCGGCAAAGGGAGAAGAGGUUUUGUUUCGAAUUAGACAAGCAAGAGUUUUUUUUAAAAAAAUUAAUUAUUGGUGAUUUUGAAACCUGGGAUGACCUUGUUGUAAUAUUUUUGUUAUCAGUUGGUUCAUUCUUCAUUUUUUAAUUGGGUUACGAAUUGAGUUUGUUUGAAUUGUAUUGGUGAUCUUAGAGGUUUUAUUUUAUUAGAGAAUUUAGUGAUGAACCAGAAAUAACUUCAUCGUCUGGCAAAUUCGUCUUUUGCUUUAUUAUUGCGCUCAUUCGUCUGGCAAAUUCAUGUUCUUUAACUCCCAUUUGAAUUUUUUUUUUUUUUGGUUAGUCAAAUUGAUAUUUACUCAUUCAUUUAAGUUCACACAUUAAUUCUCAACCGUCUUAGUUGGUUAAUUGGAUCCUAUUAAUAGUCUCAGGAUAAUUAUAAGUGACUGGGUUGUGACAUUGAGUUGUGACUCAAAUAUUGUACUGUCCGCUUCAUUCUGCUUUAUGAUGCUUAGUUUAAUAUCUUAGACAAUGGAGGAAUCGAAACUGGAGCAUGGAAUGUAUUUAUUUCCAUAGUUGGGAUCUUGGAGAUGUUUCUUUACAUGUUUGUUCAUUGAGCUAAAAAUUUAAUCUCACUUAGCUGUGACUAAAUUUUUUUUUUACUAUUAUCAAUGCAGGUAAUUAAUUGUUUCUGACAAAAUGAAGCAUAAAGAUAAGAAACCGAUUUCUCCAAAUGGUGAUAAAAGUCCCAGGAUUGUUCCUUUGACAGUAUUGUUUGUUGCACUACGUGGGUUUUCGUUUUACCUUGGUGGAAUCUUUUGUUCUGAGAAAAAUAGAGUCGAGAUUAGGGAUGUCCAGAAAGCAGUCCCGUCUCCCAAGGAUCCAGCGGUUGCUCCGCUUCAGAUCAAAUCUGUUAACUUCCCUGAAUGCAGCAGCAACUAUCAAGACUACACUCCAUGCACAGAUCCAAAGGUAUACCUUAAAUGCUUAUUUGAUAAUAGUAACAGCUUCUAGGCAAUGUUACAAAGCUAUAUGAUAUCAAGUGGCCAUAUUGAUGGCAAACAUUCAUUGCUACAGAGGUGGAAAAAGUACGGUGCUCAUCGGCUGACUUUCAUGGAACGCCACUGUCCUCCAGUUUUUGAGAGGAAGGAAUGCUUAAUACCCCCUCCUAAUGGGUAUAAGCCACCUAUCAAGUGGCCAAAAAGCAGGGAUGAAUGUUGGUACAGGUAUUAUGAUCUAUUAAUGAACUGGUUUUAUUGUCCACUGAUGUUGGCCGUAAGUCAAUUUUGUUCUAUUAUUUGGAUCUAGUUUCAGGAAUGUGCCUUAUGAUUGGAUUAACAAGCAGAAGUCAAAUCAGAAUUGGCUGAGAAAACAAGGAGAGAAGUUCCUCUUUCCUGGUGGAGGUACAAUGUUUCCCAAAGGAGUUGGUGCAUAUGUUGAUUUGAUGCGAGAUCUGAUUCCAGAAAUGAAAGAUGGGAUAGUUCGAACUGCUAUUGACACUGGAUGUGGGGUGAGUUUUGUUUUCCAUUUGCCCACUUUUUCAUCUAAUCAUAUACUGGGCUAAUCUAUGUUGCAUUGAUGGUUUAUUCUUAUGGUGCCUCUUGGUCAUCUUAGGAUAAAUUUAACUCACUUACAUUUUUUUUUAUAGGUUGCUAGCUGGGGAGGUGAUUUAUUAGAUCGUGGAAUUUUAACGGUUUCUCUUGCACCAAGAGAUAAUCAUGAAGCUCAAGUUCAAUUUGCAUUGGAACGUGGAAUUCCCGCAAUUCUUGGCAUCAUUUCCACACAGUGCCUACCUUUCCCCUCAAAUUCAUUUGAUAUGGCUCAUUGCUCAAGAUGCCUUAUCCCGUGGACAGAAUUCGGUAAUUAGUCAUAUACUAUGAAGAUAUUUUCUAGAGAAGUAUCAUUAUCAAAUUGAUUGGAUAAUAGCAGUUAAGAUUAUUCAAUUAUAAGAAUAACUUGUCUUGUAAUCAGACGUCUUUGUGUAUUGAAGUAUUUGGAUUGUGUAAUAUAUAUUGAUAAUAUUUAAAUGUUACGAAAGGUUUUGAUAUAUAAAUUGAUUUUUGUUCUUAUUUCUCACAGCCUUUUAAUUCUAUCAACAAAUCAAUGGGCAACAUGUCAUUUUAUAUAAUUAUUUUUUAAAAUAAUAAAUAAAGUAGUGAUACUAUAGUAACAGUAAUCACAAAUACUAAUAUAGUAUUGUAAUAUUUUGAUACCAUGGUGUUAUUAUUUUAGUGAUACUAUAGUAAUAGUAAUCACUGACACCACUUACAAGUGUCACUAUUUUUCUGACUCCCAGAUUGCUGACACAAUUAAUAAGUGUCAGUAAAAGUAAUUUCUGACACUAUUCUAAAGUCAGUAAAGACCAUUUUUCUAGUAGUGCAACCCUAGAUACGAUCAUAGGAUUUAAUCAAUUGACAGCCUGAAAAACCAGAGAGACCCAAAUCCUAAUCAACAAACGCAUACGAUGGUUCAUUUAAAUUAGAUUGUUUAUUCUCAUAACACAACGCACUGCUAUGCUAUUUGUCACAAACAUUAAAGUUUUCAUACGAUGAAUCAUUUAAUUGACAAUAGAUUAAGUUGAUAAUUAAAUAGUGGCCAAUUAUCUAAUUAACAAACAUAAUCAUGACAAUAAUUCAGAGAAUAAAUAAAUACCCAAAAAGUAAUAAAACAAUUAAAGCAUAAGAAAGAUCUCACAAUAAUGAUGAAUCAAAGCUUCAUUAACCUUAAACCAGAAUAAUAAAUUUAGUUCUUCAUAGAAAAUUUUAGAUUUAGGGUUUCUUUUUCUUCAAAAAUCUCCCAUUUUUUCUAGUAGAUUCCUCUCUUAAAUUCUUUCCUCUCUCUUCUCGUCUAGAGUUCUUUUUAAAAUAAAAUACUAAUAUCUAAAAUAUUAUCUAAAUAUUAAAUUCGUAAUUACAAAAAUAACCAAAAAGAUAAAACACAUUAAACUAAAAACUACAGGUCCGUAGUUGACAGCACGUGCCCACGCCUUAUCAACAAAGUUCUUCUGAAGCUAAAUUUUAGCACCAAUCAAUAGAAUUGCACCUACAGAAAUAAAACACAAGUAAAUCACUAUUAUUAAGUGCAAAACAUCAAUAUUAAAGGAAGUAAACAAUGCAAAACUAGUGCAUAAAUUGCACUCUAACAAUUACUUGAGAUUCCAAAGCCUGAGCUACCUAAAAAACCUGAAUUACCAGAGAUUCCAAAGCCAGAACUACCGAAGAAACCUGAAUUACCUGAGAUUCCAAAGCCUGAGUUGCCAAAAGAACCUGAAUUGCCAGAUAUUUUGAAACCUGAGGUGCCAAAAGAGCUUGAGUACCUGAACUUCCAAAGCCUGAGUUGCCCAAAGUGCCUGAGAUGCCAAAAGAGCCCGAAGUACCUGAACUUCCAAAGCCUGAGUUGCCCAAAGUGC
RNAcentral lists this long non-coding RNA (17447 nucleotides) under Citrus maxima (pomelo). RNAcentral's name for it is "long non-coding RNA (CMAX_LNC000250)". The record is from RNAcentral. Lineage: Eukaryota; Viridiplantae; Streptophyta; Magnoliopsida; Sapindales; Rutaceae.